This 2566-nucleotide long non-coding RNA is filed under the name Sus scrofa (pig). RNAcentral's name for it is "lncRNA (ENSSSCG00045013709.1)". The record is from RNAcentral. Lineage: Eukaryota; Metazoa; Chordata; Mammalia; Artiodactyla; Suidae.
UUUUUUUUUUUGUUUUUUUUUUUUUUUUUUGCUUUUUAGGGCUGCGCCCCCAGCAUAUGGAGGUUCCCAGAAGUCCAGUCAGAGCUAUAGCUGCCAGCCUACGCACCACAACCACACCAGAUCUGAGCCACAUCUGCAACCUACACCACAGCUUAUGGCAUCACCAGAUCCUUAACCUAGUGAGCGAGGCCAGGGAUUGAGCGAGACCAGGAAUCAAACCUACAACCUCAUGGUUCCUAGUCAGAUUGUUUCCACUGUGCCACAACAGGAACUCCUAUUAGUCUCUUGAUUGCAAAUGAAUUUCCAGUAUUCUGCAUUUGUAUCCUCCUCUCUCGACAGUUUCUGGUUUUAGUAGCAUAUUUGUGUAUGGAUGAUUUCCUACCUUUGCAGUAUGUAUGCCUUUACUGGUGAGCUUCGUCAUUUGUAAUGUUUUUAUUUCUGGUUGUGGCCUUUUCUUUUCCACCUAGAGAAGUACCUUUAGUAUUUUUUGUAAAGCUGGUUUAAUGGUGCUGAAUUCUCUUAGCUUUUGCUUAUCUAUGAAGAUUUUGGUUUCUCCUUCAAAUCUGAAUGAGAGUCUUGCUGGGUAGAGUAAUCUUGGUUGGAGGUUUUUUCCUUUCAUCACUUUAAGAAUAUCAUGCCACUCUCUUCUGGCCUGCAGUUUCUGCUAAAAAAAAAUCAGCUGAUAACCUUAUCUGGGUUCCCUGUAUGUUAUUUGUUUUUUUUCCCUAGCUGCUUUCAAUAUUUUCUCUUUAAUUUUGGUCAAUUUGAUUAAUAUGUACCUUGGGUAUUCCUUUUUGGGUUUGUUUUAUGUGGUACUCAUUAUGCUUCCUGGAUUUGAGGGAGUGAUUCCUUUCUCAUGUUAGGGAUGUUUUUGGCUAUUGUCUCUUCAAAUAUUUUUUCUGUCCCUUUUUAUCUUCUCCUUUCAGCACCCUUAUAAUAUUGUAUAUUUUUGGUGCUUUUGUUGUAAAUUAAUUAUGUGUGAGGAUUUAUUUCUGGGCUCUCAAUUCUGUUCCAUUGAUCUGUAUGUCUGUACAAUAUGCUUUGGUUAGUAUGGCUUUGGGAUAUGGUUUGAAACCAAGGAUUGUGAUGCCUCUAAGUUUGUUAUUUCUGAAGACUGUGUAGGCUAUACAGUACCCAUUGUGGUUCCCAUACGUUUUUCAGAUUGUCCCAUUUCUGUGAAAAAUAGCACUGGAAUUUUAUAGGGAUCAUUGAAUCUGUAGUUGCUUUGAGUCCAAUGGACAUUUUGACUAUUUUAAUUCUUCCUAUCCAUUACCUGAGAAUAUCUUUCCAUUUACUUGUGUCUUCAGUUUCUUUCAUUAAUGUCUUAGAGUUUUCAGUGUCAUCUCUGGUUAAACCUAUUCCUAAAUGUUUAAUUUUUUCUUUUUUUUGGCUGCACCCAGGCAUAUGGAGUUCCCAGUCUGGGAUCAGAUCUGAGCUGUAACUGCACAGCUGCCGCAGUACCACAUCCUUUAAUCCACUCAAGGGCAGGGAUCGAACCCGCCACCUCGUGGUUCCUAGCCAGAUUGGUUUUCCUGCGCUACGAUGGGAAGUCCUUUUGAUAAAUUUUUUUUGUGGGUUUUCUAAUUCUACAUUCUUACCUUUACCAGUAUGUUGCAAAUAUAGGUGUUUUCGUAUUACUAGUUUGUGUGUACUCCAUGCAGCAUUAUUUAUAAGGCAGUUUAGAGUUGAUGAUGUCCCUUAGCUUUAAUGAAAGUCUUUAUCACCCCUUUAUUUCUGAAGGAUAGCUUUCUUGGGUCAAGUAUUCUUUUUUGGCAGUUUCUUUCGACACAUGGAAUAUAUCAUCCCACUUUCUCCUGCAUACAAGGUCUCUGCUGAGAAAGUCACUGAGUGUGUCAUUGAUGUUCCCUUAUAUGUGAUUUUUUCCCCCUUUCCUUCCAGCUUUUAAAAAUUCCUUUUUUUGGUAUGGGGGGUGGACUGGCUUUAGACCAUUUUACUAUGUGUCUUAUAGAAGAUCCUUUUGCACUGAAUUUUGAGGUUACGUAUUAGCUUCAGGUACUUGCAUGUCUAAAUCUCCCCAGAUAUGGGAAGUUCUUAGCCAUUCUUUCUUUCAUCUUUUUACCCUUCUCCCUCUAGUCUUCUUUUGGGACUCCAAGGAUGUGUACAUUAUUUCUCUUGGUGGUGUCCUUUAAGGCCUGUAAAGUAUGCUUUCUUCAUUCUUUUUCAUUUUUUUUUCUCCUCUGAUUGGACUGUUUCAGUUGAUCUGUCUUUGGGCUCACUGAUUCUUCUGGUUGCUUGAGUCAGCUACUGAAUUCUUUAUUUCACUUAGAGCAUUCUUUAGUUCCAAAAUUUUUUUUUUUGGGGGGGUGUCUCUUUUACAUUCUCUAUCUUUGCUGAACUCUUCAUUUUGUUUGUGUAUGGUUUUCCUAGUAUCUUUGGAUUGUUUAUACUCUCCAUUUUUAGAAAAUCUCUUGGAGUUUUCUUGUGGCACAGCAGGUAAAGGAUCUGGCGUUGUCACUGCAGUAGCUUGGGUCACUGCUAUGGUGUGUAUUUGAUCCCUGGCCUUGGAAUGUCCACAUGCUGUACGCUCAACCAAAAAAAAAAAAAA